This is a long non-coding RNA of Cyprinodon tularosa, 2424 nucleotides long. RefSeq lists it as uncharacterized. The record is from RefSeq and is a predicted model, not a curated record. The transcript has 8 exons. Lineage: Eukaryota; Metazoa; Chordata; Actinopteri; Cyprinodontiformes; Cyprinodontidae.
GGAAGCGAAAAAGAAAAGAAAUUGGCGGAUAAACAAACCAACAAACAUGGAGAAGGAGAGCAGCGAGAACUUUAGCGGGCAGGACUAAAAGAAAAUGUCCAUGCUGUCAAAAUGAGCAGACCACUGAAGUUUCUAGAAAACGCCAUCGCUCUCCUGACUCUGCCAGUCCUGCCCAGAAGAGGAGGCGUUCAAAGGCAGCCAGUCCCUACCAACCUCUGGUUGCCAUCUCAGCUCCUGCCCAAUGCACCACUGAGGCUGAAAGGCUGCUUGCUAAGCCUCGGGCUACCAUCGACCCAGCAGACCUCCCAGCAGUCUCUCCUCUGCCAAUCCUGAACCAGUCCUCCACUGCUGCUGUGCAGGACAAUCAGCCUGUGAUGAUUCACAAUCACACAGUAGAAGAGUACCAGGAGAUUUAUCAGGAAGUGGUCGAUGACAUGCUGAGGUACAAAAGUGGUCAAAGACGUCCUUACAGUCUCAACCUAGGCCGUGUUAUAAAGCAAAAGCUCUGGGAGAGGAUGAAGAAGCCUUCAAUUACAAUGUCAGCUAGCCAAAAUGCCCUGAUUAAUGUAGAGAUCACCUACGGCAGCAGGGAAAAUCCUCCUCUUUACAUCUUGGAUUAAUUAAAAUAAAAGUUCCAAGACAGACAAUGAGAAAAACACUGAAAAACAAAACAACAACUUUGUAAAUAGUUCUUUAAGAGUUCAGGCUAAUUCUUCAUAACUUAAAUCAAACCUAUCUGGAUCGAAAAAAACAGAGUCAAAACAACCUGAUGAGUUGACCUCCACCUCAAGCCUCCAUCUGCAGUGUUUAAACCAGCCUGCAAAACCUCCACCUCAACCUCCGUUUGCAGACAAUAAACCAGCCUGCAAAACCUCCACCUCAACCUCCAUCUGCAGAGAUAAAACCAGCCUGCAAAACCCCCACCUCAAUCUCCGUCUGCAGACAAUAAACCAGCCUGCAAAACCCCCACCUCAAUCUCCGUCUGCAGACGAUAAAACCAGCCUGCAAAACCUCCACCUCAACCUCCAUGUGCAGUUUAAACCAGCCUGCAAAACUUCCACAUCACUCUCUAUCUGCAGAGAUUAAACCAGCCUGCAAAACCUCCACCUCAACCUCCUUUUGCAGAGCUUAAACCAGCCUGCAAAACCUCAACCUUACGCUCCAUAUGCAGAGAUUAAACCUGCCUGCAAAACCUCCACCUCAACCUCCAUCUGCAGUGCUUAAACAAGCCUGCAAAACCUCUAGCUUACUCUCCAUAUAUAUAUAUAUAUAUAGAUUAAACCAGCCUGCAAAACCUACACCUUAAUCUCCAUCUGCAAAAGGUAAACCAGCCUGGAGAACCUCUACAUCACUCUCCAUCUGCAGAGAUUAAACCAGCUUUCAAAGCCGCCACCUCAACCUCCAUCUGAAGGGAUUCAACCAGCCUGCAAGACCUCCACCUCAACCUCGAUCUGAACAGUUAAAGUAGCCUGCAAGACCUCGACCUCAACUUCCAUCGUUAGAGUUUAAACCAGCCUGCAAAACCUCCACCUCAACCUUCAUCUGCAGAGAUUAAACCUGCCUCCAAAACCUCCACCCUAAUCUUCAUCUCUGGAGUUCAAAUCUACCUGCAAAACCUCCACCACAGUCUCCAUUAUGGGGUUUCCCAGGCUGGUUACCGGAGCACAGAGUGUGACGAUAUGAUCCUCUCAUGCCGACUAUAUGUUCAACUUUGGAGCACCAAGAUGACGCACUGGGAAGCUACGGAGCAAAGCCAGAGAGCAGCGAGAACUUGAGCGGGCAGGACUAAAAGAAAAUGUCCAUGCUGUCAAAAUGAGCAGACCACUAAAGUUUCUAGAAAACGCCAUCGCUCUCCUGACUCUGCCAGUCCUGCCCAGAAGAGGAGGCGUUCAAAGGCAGCCAGUCCCUACCAACCUCUGGUUGCCAUCUCAGCUCCUGCCCAAUGCACCACUGAGGCUGAAAGGCUGCUUGCUAAGCCUCGGGCUACCAUCGACCCAGCAGACCUCCCAGCAGUCUCUCCUCUGCCAAUCCUGAACCAGUCCUCCACUGCUGCUGUGCAGGACAAUCAGCCUGUGAUGAUUCACAAUCACACAGUAGAAGAGUACCAGGAGAUUUAUCAGGAAGUGGUCGAUGACAUGCUGAGGUACAAAAGUGGUCAAAGACGUCCUUACAGUCUCAACCUAGGCCGUGUUAUAAAGCAAAAGCUCUGGGAGAGGAUGAAGAAGCCUUCAAUUACAAUGUCAGCUAGCCAAAAUGCCCUGAUUAAUGUAGAGAUCACCUAUGGCAGCAGGGAAAAUCCUCCUUUUUACAUCUUGGAUUAAUUAAAAUAAAAGUUCCAAGACAGACACUCAGAAAAACACUGAAAAACAAAACAACAACUUUGUAAAUAGUUCUUUAAGAGUUCAGGCUAAUUCUUCAUACCUU